This 199-nucleotide ribosomal RNA is filed under the name uncultured bacterium. RNAcentral's name for it is "partial 16S ribosomal RNA". It matches the Rfam family "Bacterial small subunit ribosomal RNA", at positions 326 to 539 of the family's 1533-position model. The record is from RNAcentral.
ACGCUCGACACCUACGGGACGCAGCAGUGGGGAAUAUUGCACAAUGGGGGAAACCCUGAUGCAGCGACGCCGCGUGGAGGAAGAAGGUCUUCGGAUUGUAAACUCCUGUUGUUGGGGAAAAAAGAGGAUGGUACCCAACAAGGAAGUGACGGCUAACUACGUGCCGGCAGCCGCGGUAAUCUGAGCGGGCUGGCAAGGC